GGGAGCAAUUAAAUCUUUUUUCUCUUUAUUUCCCUAGAUUGAGUUUUAAUGUUGUUGUGGAUAGUAUUCCACCUUACUUAAUAUGUUCUUGUUAUUUUUUCUUCAGAUAUAUAUCAAGAGAAGAGCUAGAGCAAGCUCUACGAGAAUUUGGUAUGAAUGACGAAAAUGAUUUGAGGGAAAUCAUUAAUGAAGUUGACACUGAUCAUGACGGUCGGAUAAAUUAUGAUGAGUUUGCAGCUAUGAUGAAGAAAGGAAAUCCAGAGGCAGCAACAAUGAACCCAAAGAAAAGAAGGGAUUCAUUUGUUGCAUAAAUUUUCAUCAUCAAUUAAUGAAAAAUGUCUCAAAAGAAUGAAAGACAAUUAUGUUAAUUGUCUUUGUUGUAGAGAAAACCAAACUAUUACAUAGUAAAAAUUUCAAGAUCCAUUCAUGAGACUUUGUAUAUUAACUAUGAUAUUAAGAAGAUAAACACACACACACAAACACAUUUACAAAGAAUAGAUUGUAAAAGUCAUGGCUAUGUUGAGAUUUGAGGGUUGAUAGGAUCUUCUAAUGCCAAACACAGUUUGGUUAAAGCUUUGAUCUGAAAAGAAUGGAGGUCUUUCAGAAGUAUAUAUGUAUCGAUAAUUCUGCAAUAUAGAAAGUAGGCUUUAAAAGUU
Molecule: non-coding RNA, 656 nt
Organism: Nicotiana tabacum (common tobacco)
Lineage: Eukaryota; Viridiplantae; Streptophyta; Magnoliopsida; Solanales; Solanaceae
Source: RefSeq, a predicted model, not a curated record